GGAGAUAUGCCCGAAAUUUAAGGGCUGCUUUGAUAGAGUACGCCACAGGGGUUAAAACCCCCUUAUCUCCU
This 71-nucleotide transfer RNA is filed under the name Grandidierina rubrocaudata. Its description in RNAcentral is "tRNA-Ile". Lineage: Eukaryota; Metazoa; Chordata; Lepidosauria; Squamata; Scincidae. The record is from RNAcentral.